Molecule: ribosomal RNA, 286 nt
Filed under: unidentified marine bacterioplankton
Lineage: Bacteria
Also listed under: 1 other name
Description: partial 16S ribosomal RNA
Rfam family: Bacterial small subunit ribosomal RNA
Source: RNAcentral
ACAUGCAAGUCGAACGAUGAAGUUCCUUCGGGGAUGGAUUAGUGGCGAACGGGUGAGGAACACGUGAACAAUCUGCCCCUUACACGGGAAUAACUUCGGGAAACCGAAGCUAAUACCCGAUAUUGAAUCCGGUAGGCAUCUACUGGGUUUGAAAUGGUCCGCCGGUAAGGGAUGAGUUCGCGGCCUAUCAGCUUGUUGGUGAGGUAAUGGCUCACCAAGGCGACGACGGGUAGCCGGCCUGAGAGGGCGACCGGCCACACUGGGACUGAGACACGGCCCAGACUCC